This 1322-nucleotide long non-coding RNA is filed under the name Callithrix jacchus (white-tufted-ear marmoset). Its description in RNAcentral is "lncRNA (ENSCJAG00000078458.1)". The record is from RNAcentral. Lineage: Eukaryota; Metazoa; Chordata; Mammalia; Primates; Cebidae.
ACCCUGAGAUGCGUGUGCCCACGGGAUUGCAUCAUCCUCCCUUUGGGGCAGGCAGGGAAGGAAAGAAUGGGACAUAACUGACCUCGAAGGAAGGAACAGGGCGUGCUCCACAAAGCCAGGACAUGGACUUCAGUGAAACCAGCCCAGCGGGCCGCACUCCAAUGCCAUUUAACCCAGAAGCCAGCUUACCAGAUAGGACAUAAGAAAGCCUCUUAUUAUUUUGAGAUACGUUCCAUCAAUACAUAGCUUACUGAGAGUUUUUAGCAUAAAGUACUGUUGAAUUUUGUCUAAGGCCUUCUCUGCAGCUGUUGAGAUAAUCACGUGGUUUUUGUCUUCGGUUCUGUUUGUGAGAUGGAUUACGUCGGUAGAUUUGUGUAUGUUGAACCAGCCUUGCAUCCCAGGGAUAAAGCCGACUUGAUGGUGAUGGGUAAGCUUUUGCUGUGCUGUUGGAUUUGGCCUGCCAGUGUUUGAUUGAGGAUUUUCACAUCAAUGUUCAUCAUGGAUAUUGGCCUGAAAUUUUCUGUUUUAGUUGUGUCUCUGCCAGGUUUUGGUGUGCAGCAAACCACCACGGCACAUGUAUACCUAUAUAACAAGCCUGCACAUUCUGCACAUGUACCUCAGAACUGAAAACAUAAGAAUUUAAAAAAAAGAAGAAAGUCUCAAAGGGAGAUGAUUUUUCAAGGGUCACUUGUCAAGACGUACGCUUUUUGGAUAUCCUCAGAAGUGACUAAGAAAUGUCUUUUAAGGAUGAAUCUCAUCUUCUGAAACAACCAGAGACGCCAGAAGCCAAAUGCGGAAUCUCUCCAUUCAGUCACAGAGCGGCAGUGCCUUGCAGAAUCGUCAUUUUGUGACAUCCCGAACCACAAUAUUCUGUCUCACCUCACAAAAAUCUGAAGCACUUUACACGGCUUUGAAAGAAGAUCCGCCCUAUCAUGAACAACGUAAGAAAGGCCGGUGACUCACGGCCCGUAAUCCCAGCACAUUGGGAGGCUGAGGAGGGCAGAUUACUGAGGUCAAGCAUUUAAGACCAGCCUGGCCAACAUGGUGAAACCCCAUCUCUACAAAAAAAAAUACAAAAAUUAGCCAGGCAUAGUGGCACAUGCCUGUAAUCCCAGCUACUCCGGAGGCUGAGGCAGGAGAAUCACUUGAAGCUGGGAGGCAGAGGUUGCAGCGAGCUGAGAUCAGGCCACUGCACUCAAGACUGGGCAACAGAGCGAGACUCCAUCUCAGAAAAAUAAAAAAUAAAUAAAAAUAAAAUUUAAAAAAAAAGCAAGGUCGAGAAGAGUCAUUAUUUGAACAAUGCACUGACAGAGACUCCAGCA